GAGCCAUUGCAAGACAAGAUCUGAGAAUUGGAGACAUUGCCUUGGAGAUCCCUUUAUCCAUUGUCAUUUCAGAUGAUCUUGUGCAUGAAUAUUACAUGUAUUCCAUUUUGGAAAAGAUCGAGGGCAUGUCAGCAGAAACAAUGUUACUGUUGUGGAGCAUGAAGGAGAAGCACAACCCUGAUUCCAAAUUUAAGUUGUACUUUGAUACGCUGCCAGAGGUAUUUAAUACAGGUUUGAGUUUUGGAAUGGAGGCUAUAAUGGCUUUAGAUGGAACCUUGCUGCUAGAAGAGAUUGUCCAAGCAAAAGAGCACUUGCGUGCACAAUAUGAUGAACUAUUUCCAUCCCUAUGCAAUGAUCACCCAGAUGUAUUUCCUCCGGAGCAAUACAGAUGGGAGCAGUUCUU
Molecule: unclassified non-coding RNA, 403 nt
Filed under: Hevea brasiliensis (rubber tree)
Lineage: Eukaryota; Viridiplantae; Streptophyta; Magnoliopsida; Malpighiales; Euphorbiaceae
Source: RNAcentral